RNAcentral lists this ribosomal RNA (253 nucleotides) under uncultured bacterium. RNAcentral's name for it is "partial 16S ribosomal RNA". It matches the Rfam family "Bacterial small subunit ribosomal RNA", at positions 524 to 776 of the family's 1533-position model. The record is from RNAcentral.
UACAGAGGUGGCAAGCGUUGUUCGGAAUUACUGGGCGUAAAGGGCGCGUAGGCGGUCAGGUCAGUCCCGUGUGAAAUCCCUCGGCUCAACUGAGGAACUGCACGGGAAACUACCUGGCUUGAGUUCGGGAGAGGGAAGCGGAAUUCCGGGUGUAGCGGUGAAAUGCGUAGAUAUCUGGAGGAACACCGGUGGCGAAGGCGGCAUCCUGGACCGGCAUUGACGCUGAGGCGCGAAAGCGUGGGGAGCGAACAGG